RNAcentral lists this ribosomal RNA (465 nucleotides) under uncultured ammonia-oxidizing beta proteobacterium. RNAcentral's name for it is "bacterial SSU rRNA". It matches the Rfam family "Bacterial small subunit ribosomal RNA", at positions 198 to 644 of the family's 1533-position model. Lineage: Bacteria; Pseudomonadati; Pseudomonadota; Betaproteobacteria. The record is from RNAcentral.
GGAGGAAAGCAGGGGAUCGUAAGACCUAGCGUUGAUGGAGCGGCCGAUAUCUGAUUAGCUAGUUGGUGAGGUAAAGGCUCACCAAGGCGACGAUCAGUAGCUGGUUUGAGAGAACGACCAGCCACACUGGAACUGAGACACGGUCCAGACUCCUACGGGAGGCAGCAGUGGGGAAUUUUGGACAAUGGGGGCAACCCUGAUCCAGCCAUUCCGCGUGAGUGAAGAAGGCCUUCGGGUUGUAAAGCUCUUUCGCAAGGAAAGAAAACUUAUGAUCGAAUAAAUCAUGAGGUUGACGGUACCUUGAUAAGAAGCACCGGCUAACUACGUGCCAGCAGCCGCGGUAAUACGUAGGGUGCGAGCGUUAAUCGGAAUUACUGGGCGUAAAGCGUGCGCAGGCGGUUUUGUAAGUCGGAUGUGAAAUCCCCGGGCUCAACCUGGGAACUGCGUUUGAAACUACAAAGCUAG